UCUGUCUCAAAAAAAAAAAAGAAAGAAAAGAAAAGCUGUCUAAGCAAAGCAAAAGGAUCAGUAGUAAAUGAGUACCUCAAAAAGUCAAAAGUUAUACUAAAUGUCAAACCAAGAGAGACUCACUCUGAGAGGGGGAAUCAAACCCAGGGUGUUGGGGUGAAAGCACAGAAUUUUAAUCAUUAGGCCACAAGGUGAACUAGCUUUAUUGUCAUUCCUGCAGGGGCAGCUAUUCUUGAGGGGGAGAAUACAAAGGAUCUUUAUCUUAUAAUUUAGAUUUUUGCUUUUAAAUUUUAUUAAGAGAAUUUUUCAGGCUAGCCAUGACACUAUUAUGUGCCUUUAAAAAAAAAUUGGAUAUUGGUACUUUGAGACAUGAGUCUGCUAACCUCCUCAUUUGCCAGCAAAUUGAUAAACUUCUCUUUCCUUCUUCUCAAACCACUUGUUCUUGUUCUUCUGAUGGGGCCUCAGGGACAAGUGCUGAAAUUUUAGUAACAGAAUUUGGUGUCUGUGGGUGGGGCCCAUAAAAGCCCUGGUGGAAUGGCACCCCAUGAUUGCUGGAAGAGGCAGGGAGCAGCCCUGGGUCAAAACCAUGAGUCUUCAUGGGUAGGAGCAAACUUCGUUUCAAGAUGAGAGAGAAUGGCCCCAGCAGCUGCCAGAGCCUGUUUUAGCUCCAGGAAAUUCUUGUCUCUGUCUCUCCAAACUAGACACAGCUCUCCACAACCUCAACUGAGUUGAGAAGAAGGAAAUGGAACUAGAAACAUCUGGACAGCCUCAGCCAUUUAUUUGAACUCUACAGCCAGCCUAGCAAGGCGCCAGGUGGAGCCACAGCCCGGGAGGCAGACCCUGCAGGAGGGAGAACUGCCACACACCUCCCGCCACUGCCGCCUUCUUGACACCAUGGGAGGGCCCAGGAGUGCACCGCCUGGACUAACGCUUCAGACUCACGCCCAGUAAAUUAUGACUCCGGUUCGGCAUGGUCUCCCCGAAGCAAACUCAAUUUGGGCCAGUGGCAACCCAUAGCCAGGCAGGCAAUUUACGACAAUAUCAGAUAGGGAGGCUUCAAUGUGCAAAAACAGCUAAAGGGUCUUUUGAGACAGUCAAAGGGAGUGGGCAAAAAAGCUGUCCCCGACUGAUUUUUUGUAAAAAAAAAAAAAAAAAAAGAGGGACCUUGAAAGGAACAUUGCCCAAAAUUGUAAAAGACUCCCAGUGACAGGAAGCUCCCAGGAAAGUAAAUCAUUUUUUUUUAAAGUCCAAGACUCAGAGAGUAAAGGAGAGAGGGCCAGAAGCCCCUGCCUUCAAAUAGCCCCUCGGGAGCCCUGGGCAAAAUAGACAGUGGGGAUUCAAUUGACACUAGCCAUGUAGACAGAAGUGGUUUGGGGGGGGUCCCUUCCCCCGGACCACUACGCCAAUCCCUGCACCAGCAGCAAGCCAGGUAGGGGGUGGCGGGGGAGGAGACAGGUGGCAGUGGGGCAGCUGCAGACAAGGGGUGGCUGAGAAAUUUGUGGCGGUGGGCCCAGGAUGCAGACCUGGGCGAGCAGCAGGAGCACCAGGGGUUGCUUCAGAAGCGACAGAAACUCACCUCCAGGGGCGCCCCACCAAGCUCCUGCUGGAUGAAUGCCAGGGACAGGUGAAGUACACAGGAAACUGCCCCAUUGCUCUUUGACGUCCGGGCUUCCGCAAGCCUGCACAUCAUUGAGUCCAAGGAAGGAGGCCGAGCAGGUAGAGAAUGGCGUGCUCGUGAUGGUCGCUGUAGACAGACAGCUACAGAGACGGCUCAGCAGCUCCUUCUCCUCCAGCAAGGACGUCAGCAGGCACCCCAUUGUCAACAGGACCCCGGAGUACACUCCAAGGAGCCCUGGACUUUUCACAGGAGUGAUAAUGGACCCUCCUUUGUAGCAGAGGGAAAGGAAGUUGGGAGAAAGAAGAAGACCAAGUGCGUUGACGAGUCCAACUAACCGUGUGCGUGUAUUGUAUGCCCCACCUUGCCCACGUCUCUUCCCUACCAUGUUCAAGGCUCAUCAGCUUGGACAGAGUACAAAUUUAGGAUGAAUGCUACUUUGUGUUGCUCCUUCCAUUUUAAACAGUUAUCAUAAAGAAGUAGUACAUUUCUCUGAUUCUUUGUUUGCCGGUUGGCCUUGUUGACCCACUUCCCCAAAUGCGUAAUGCUUUUUAUUUUGAAAUUUUCCCCUUGACUAAGCAAAGCAUGCAGUGUCUAGUUACACUUCCUCUUCAAUGUGGGAAAGCUUAUUUUUCUCAUUUGUGGAACUCAAAAAGCCAAUACUCAACUGCCAUAAGAAAAAAUAAAUUACUGAGUUCGCUAUCCUAGAGUGUGGAGAUGGAUCAUUUCAAAUCAUUAUCAAGCAUUUCUUUCUGAGACUGCACAACGUUCAGUUUUGCAAUUAAGCACAAAGCAACAUCUUUUUAUUUUUUUUUGAGACAGAGUCUCACUCUGUUGCC
This is a non-coding RNA of Microcebus murinus (gray mouse lemur), 2454 nucleotides long. The record is from RefSeq and is a predicted model, not a curated record. Lineage: Eukaryota; Metazoa; Chordata; Mammalia; Primates; Cheirogaleidae.